RNAcentral lists this ribosomal RNA (425 nucleotides) under uncultured bacterium. RNAcentral describes it as "bacterial SSU rRNA". It matches the Rfam family "Bacterial small subunit ribosomal RNA", at positions 355 to 775 of the family's 1533-position model. The record is from RNAcentral.
UCGAGAAUCUUCGGCAAUGGGCGAAAGCCUGACCGAGCGACGCCGCGUGCGGGAUGAAGGCCUUCGGGUUGUAAACCGCUGUCGUAGAGGAGGAAAUGCAGGUGGGUACUCCCAUCUGUUUGACUGAUUCUAGGAGGAAGGACCGGCUAAUCUCGUGCCAGCAGCCGCGGUAAUACGAGAGGUCCAAACGUUAUUCGGAAUUACUGGGCUUACAGAGUUCGUAGGCGGCUCAGAAAGUGGGGUGUGAAAUCCCUCGGCUCAACCGAGGAAUUGCGCUCCAAACUACUGAGCUAGAGGGAGAUAGAGGUGAGCGGAACUGAUGGUGGAGCGGUGAAAUGCGUUGAUAUCAUCAGGAACACCGGAGGCGAAGGCGGCUCACUGGGGCUCUUCUGACGCUGAGGAACGAAAGCUAGGGGAGCAAACGG